CGCUACUUCGGCAAGAUGAGCUUGCUUGGGACGGGGCUUCAGCCUCGGCCUCGACCCGCGUCAGGUGAAGGCUGCGGCACGCGUCCCCUCCUCCGCCUCCAGUCUCCGCCCAACUCAAAACCCUAGCAACCGCGCCUCCAUCCCUACCCGAAUUCCAAUCCAGGUCCGAUCCCCCGGUGGCGAGGACACCCGGCGCCGAUUCGUCCCCGCAGAUCGACCGGGCAGGACAUAUUUGGGUUCGGGGUCCGCUCGAGUCGCCUCGCCGGGGUCCACCGCGGCGGUCAGGGGGUAUGGUGGGCGGCGGGAGGCGGGGCGGAGCGGCGGAGGAGGUCAAGCUUUACACCGGCAACGUGUUCGCGGCGCUCGAGUCCCUCAAGAAGAAGAAGAAGAAGGGUGACAAAGGCAAGGCGGUCGGGAGGAGGACGGCGAGGGGGCCGCUGAACCCUGGGCAAACAGGCGAGCGAGUACGCCGACUGCGAGGAGUAAACUUGUGUCAUCUCGCGCGGGGCCAACCCGAGGACCACGCACAUCCUCGCCGGCGAGACGGUGGAGGUGCGCAGGGGAGACGUAGGUGGUGGCUGCACGAAGGUGGUUUUCAGCAUUGAGCCGUUGGCAUUGAGCGACCGGCAGCAGCCCGCGUCUUCGUCUUCGUCGCCGGCGGCACCCGCCAGAGUCGUCGUGUCCGGUCGUUGCUGCUGCUGCAUGAAGAGGCUGCUGGAGGACCGGGACAUCUUCAUCUACCUGGGCAAGAAGGCCUUCUGCAGCGACGAGUGCAGGAACGGGUUCACUAUGGACCGUUUGGCUCGAAUUGUCUUGAGCCCAAGGAAAUCUGGGCCUUUUUAAUCGUCGUCACCUAGCUCGCGGAUGGUCCGCACACAGUUUCCACCGUCAGUAUCGCAUUGGAGUGAAACAACACCCAUCCUUGCCACCGAUUAGGAACUUAGGAAUGGACUCGCCGGUGCCUGCUACGCUCGCCCGCGCGCCAGCGAGAUCGCAAGCGCGGGCGGGCGAGGAGGCUUGCGCGGAUACUCGGCAGGAUGCUCCGGCGGAAGCGGAGCCACCUCCCCGUCGGCCACCCGCGUUCUACAGCUCCGUGUUUGCGUAGAUCGAAGAGAUCGGGUGGAAGCAGCUGGUGAGCGCCACAGGAGACGGAGUGUCCUGUCUCACCUUCCGCGUCGUGGAUGAACCAGGACAGAUGCAUUUACUGGAGAUCACACUGCCCAUGGGCUAUCCCGAAAGUCCUCCUUCAAUCUCUGCAGUUAGUCUCUAUCCUGAUAUUUUUAUUAUACUUUGCCAGGGAUGAACUAGGCAUGUUUUUGAUUAUAGCCCAUAUGUAGCCGCCAGGGAUGAACUAGGCCUGUUUUUAUUAUACUUUGCAGUUGCAUGAAAUUUCAGAACCAUAACCAUAUGGGCUAUAAUUGAACUUGUCUCAUUAACAGGACGUACCAUAUCUCCCAAAAAUACAUUGGUCAAAAAACUCAAGACUGAAAGAUGUUAUUUGCCAUGUCUCAUUAACAGGACGUACCAUAUACUCACAUAUUUCCUGCAUUGCAUUGUACACAUUUUCUUAUAUAUUAACGAGUGCAGGAACGAGUUCAUCGAGGAGGCGGCGGAGGAGGAGCUCAUGAUUCUAGAUCCUGCUCGAAAUCUUUGAUCAAGAUUUGUUAGUUGUCGUGGCAAAAGUAGAGAGUGUAAUAUUUGCCCGCAAUAUUUUGCUUCUACCUUCAACUUGGGGACUACUUGGCUGGGAGAGUGAGUGGGGGAAGGACAAAGGAAAUGCCUCUCAUUCAAGUUUUUUGCUGUAAGGAGAGGUCGUCCCGGUUUGGCCAACCAGUGCAAUGGUCGAGCCAGCCAAUUUCCGUGGUUUGUUGAGCUCCAUUUUGGCUACUGUCAUAUUAGCUCUUCGGCAUCAAUUUCCGGGAGGAGGAUGGCGAGGGGGCCGCGCAGCGGCAAGAGCCACCGCAGAAGGAGCUAUUCUCAGCCUUCUCAGCCUUUUCCAGUUUAUUUUAUUUUUUAUUUAGUAGCAUUUCGUUAAUUCCAGUUCUAUUUGUUACAAUGAUUCCAGUUCGUUCUUGUAGCAAUAGCUGGCUCUGGCUGAAUUUUAUGAUCUAUCAAUUUAAUGUCAUCAUCAUGAUUAAUGUGGACUUAUCUAGACUGUUUUUGGAUAGAGUAGUAGUUAGUGAUUUCUGAUCCGACUAUUGUCGCUGCAAUCUUUCAUGUUCUUUUUAUGUAGUCUCACUUUGCUCCUUUUUCAUUAAUGGUUUAUUCGUGGACAUUUUCAACUUCUACCAUCAAACCUUCUGAUGUUGGUACUUUGUGUUCUAUUCAAUUAUUUUACCCAUAAAAGAACUUGGGAUUAUUUUAUACCUUUUAUCUCUACUACUACUUAAGUGUCUAUUGUAGGCGUCCACAAAGGCGGAUGGUGCACGGUUCUGCCGGUUCCGCAUCCCGCCAGAUUGGGACGAAUUCGGCAUCGGCUCCACCAAAGGCUCCACGGAUUUGGCAUCAGCUCCACAGAUUUUCGAUACUGGGUAACAGAAAUGCAUGUUUAUGGUGUUCGUUUUGACCUUGCAUUACAUCUACAAUGACCAGAGGAUGCAGAACGCCACUGCAGCACCGAUGGAAUUGUACGGUGUCAUCAGGCUCGACUAAAUCUAGAUGGGAUGGACUCUACUUGUGUUGAAGGAAAGGAAGUAUGUGCUUGGCUUGCGAGGAGGGGGCAUAUUUCUGUUCAACUUUUCUUACGGGUCAUGUUACUUGUCAUCUCAGAUUACACAACUUUAGGU
This is an RNA transcript of Zea mays, 2786 nucleotides long. RefSeq lists it as uncharacterized. The transcript is spliced from 6 exons. Lineage: Eukaryota; Viridiplantae; Streptophyta; Magnoliopsida; Poales; Poaceae. The record is from RefSeq and is marked validated.